UCCUGGUUUGAGAAGACAAUUGCGUUUGAAGGCGUGAACUCCAUUGCCGGCGAUGGAGUUCCUGAUGCAAACAAUUAGCAGGUAACUACAUGAUUUCUUUGUUUGGGAAGUGAAUGCGGCUGGUUCGUACUUGAUUUUGUUUCCUUGCUUUCAUCAGUGCCCGGAUCCAGAUUCCCCUUGAUCUUGAUUGAAGAGGUGGAGCCCCGAUGGGUCUGGCGCCGUACGUCGCGAGAGUUGCAGCCCAGCCUGCGGACCAAGACCCGGGCGGAGCCGCAAGUGAGCGCAGAUCUGGGAGCGAGAAAACGGUCGGGCGGAUACGCGCGAGUCCUCACCACAGGCAUCUGAACUCUCCAGUGCCAAGAAGAACCCGCAGGCACCUGGCUGGGCUAAGAGGUGCGUUCGAUCGUACACCAAGAGUGCCUGUAUGCUGCGUAACAGCGUCGAGUGCCUGUUGAUCUGCGUGAGAUUUGUGCUCUAAUUUGUGGGUUCGCACUGCUUAAAAUCAGUCCAACCACAGGAGACAGUUAGAACAAUUUGGGUCCUUUACCAUAGUUUUGGGUUAUGAUAGAAUAAUUAGUACUUGUAUAAGUGUGUUAUUACUGGAAGGUAGAACUGAGUGAGGCUGGGUGCAGCGACUAAUUUAGCAAAUAUUGUGUAGUGUGAAUGGGCUGAGCAAGUUCUUUUGGCAUGAAGGAUGAGGAUGUAAGAUCCUCUGAAUAUCUUGAUGGUGAGAUACUGGAGCAGUUGGAUCAUUAAAUAUAGCCAUGGGAUUUGUUAGUCCGUUUUUUUGUAACUGAAUGUGCUUGCAUUAGGCUGUGAGCUUUGUACUAAAAUCCGCGCGUAUGAUUCGACAUGUUCGGUUGAGUAGAGUUCUGACUGUAAUUGUUUUGUAGAGGUUAGUAGUGUUUGGACUGUUGGUUAUCAUUCUCGAAUAAGGCAUUCAUAUCAAUCUCUGCACCUGCCAGAAAUAAAAAAUGUGGAAUGUAUGGGUUUUUUCCGUUUCCUUUGUGAUUUUUGUGUACCCUGUAGACAUAAUUCUAUUUUCCGCACAUUGAAAAUGUCAAACAAUGUUUCUUUGUUGUGAAGAAACUCUCUUGCAGGUUGAGGUUUGUUGCAGCAGCCCCUAGUAGGAUGCUCUGCCCGGUGAGGGCUUGUUCUGUUAGACCCGACUGGGGUUCGAAACCCGAUCUGGCUUGUAACAGGCUUCGGUUAUACCUCGUCCAGUACGAGAGGAGGAGAGGCGUGAGCGACGGCGGGCCUGCAGCAGAUCCACAUGCGCGGCGGCCUUCUCCGGCGCGAGCACGAUGGGAGCGGACGGCAGCAGCGUGCCCCAGAGGCGUCCUACUAUUGCGUCCGAGAGAGGUGACGACGGCGUCCACACCUACGAUGUUGGAUUUCUCGCUGGUAAGGUCCUAUUUCUUCCUCUCGCUUAUCCGAAUUUCUGAGCCUUGAGGUUUCUCGGUUCAGGCGAAUUAUAAGGUUCUUGGUUCCCGUCUGCCUGCUCAAGUCAUUUGUUUUUCCAGAAAUAUUCUCUGGAUCAAGUGUCUUUUUUAUGUCAUACUGGACUGUGUUAUAAAACACUGGAGGGGGAAGCAUAAAUCUGAACAUCUAAAUUUUAGUUAGACGGAUAGUUCUUUUUUCCCUGAUAGUUCAUAAUUGCAUGAGCACAAUGUCAGCGUUGCAUUAACUUUUCUUGACCGCUUUCUUGAGCACGCAUGACCUGGUCCAUUUGAUUGUUAACUUCUAUGGGGUUAAUUAGCCAGGCCUGGCACAAAUACUUUCUAUUUGUACAAUUUAGGCCAGGAAGAGAAGCCAGCAGGCUGCUGAUCGUUUGGCACACUGCAAGUUCUCAGCUGAAUUCAAGCUUCAUAUUCAUGCCAUGUUACAGUUUGCAUUUUUUUCUUAUAGGAAACUGUCUUCAAUAUUAUCCAGAAAGUAAUGGAAAUGGCACAUCUUUCUGGUAGUUUGUGAAGUUGCUAACGGAUGUAAUUUACUAAUGACGCGAUGACACUUCAUUUGGAUAAUGUAUGUAACUCGUGAGUUAGUUCAUGAUUUUGAAAUUCUUGAAAUCAAGGAAUACGUGGGGGCUAUGCUGGGUUGGGUUGUGUGACUUACAGGUUUGUUGCCGUUGCUUCUCAUUAUUAGAAGAACAUGUUUCCAUACACUUCAAAAAGCUAUUUUACAUUGUUGCCUUGCCUGUUCAUCUUGAAAACCGUAAUUCUUUUUCAACCAUGAGAGGGUAUUGAGGCAUUUUAUAUACUCCUUGAGCUAGAAAAUUUUGAUUCUGAAUCUCCGGAUUACUAUA
This 2305-nucleotide long non-coding RNA is filed under the name Triticum aestivum (bread wheat). Its description in RNAcentral is "long non-coding RNA (TAES_LNC011603)". The record is from RNAcentral. Lineage: Eukaryota; Viridiplantae; Streptophyta; Magnoliopsida; Poales; Poaceae.